Molecule: long non-coding RNA, 444 nt
Filed under: Physcomitrium patens
Lineage: Eukaryota; Viridiplantae; Streptophyta; Bryopsida; Funariales; Funariaceae
Description: long non-coding RNA (PPAT_LNC007722)
Source: RNAcentral
CUCACUUACUGCCUUUGAAUUACAUGAGUUGUUUCAAUGCCCUAUAACUCCUUCAUCUAAACUUAGAAUUUAUCAAAUAGUACAAAUAAAGUGUAGUUAAAAAAGUGUCCUCUCCAAUUCUAGUCACUGAUCUUUCAUUGCUCUUUGUACGCAUAUGUUAUGUUUCAAAAAGUGAUAAUAGGUACAAAUUUGACACCUUAACUUUGAAUACCUAUUUCUCCUUCAAAAAAACUCGAAAUCAUAUAAACUCUUCAUCCAAAUUAUACCCAAAAUCUUGAACUUACUGAUCCUAGCCUCCAAAGCUCAAAUGCCUUCGAAAGAGAAACCCUAAUCCCUAAUAAGGCCUCAGGCAGCCUCCUUGAAGCCCAUUGGCAUGGCCUUCAAUCAAUGGGAAUGAAGUUUUCCAUUCCUUGCCUUCAUCCAACCAUGCCUUACUUUCAUCCC